ACGGAAGGCAGCAGUGGGGAAUAUUGGACAAUGGGGGAAACCCUGAUCCAGCGACGCCGCGUGAGUGAAGAAGUAUUUCGGUAUGUAAAGCUCUAUCAGCAGGGAAGAUAAUGACGGUACCUGAAUAAGAAGCCCCGGCUAACUACGUGCCAGCAGCCGCGGCAAUACGUAGGGGGCAAGCGUUAUCCGGAUUUACUGGGUGUAAAGGGAGCGUAGACGGCAAGGCAAGUCUGAUGUGAAAACCCGGGGCUCAACCUCGGGACUGCAUUGGAAACUGUCUGGCUAGAGUGCAGGAGAGGUAAGUGGAAUUCCUAGUGUAGCGGUGAAAUGCGUAGAUAUUAGGAGGAACACCAGUGGCGAAGGCGGCUUACUGGACUGUAACUGACGUUGAGGCUCGAAAGCGUGGGUAGCAAACAGGAUUAGAUACCCUGGUA
RNAcentral lists this ribosomal RNA (434 nucleotides) under uncultured Lachnospiraceae bacterium. Its description in RNAcentral is "partial 16S ribosomal RNA". It matches the Rfam family "Bacterial small subunit ribosomal RNA", at positions 341 to 792 of the family's 1533-position model. The record is from RNAcentral. Lineage: Bacteria; Bacillati; Bacillota; Clostridia; Lachnospirales; Lachnospiraceae.